CAGCUCUCCAAAUUUCUUAGAAGCCCCUUUGCUCCUCCUGCCUCUUCAAGCAAGAGCAACAGAUGUUUCCUGUCUGUUUAUUUGUGGAAGGCAGCGAGCAUUGGAGCAGAAAUGGUCAAAACUUUGUUCUGUCCUGCUUAUGAGUGAGAUAGUGUGAAAAAACAAACUAAGGACUCUGCUCUUGAAUGUUGAACACAUAAAAAGGAGGCAGAGUUAACUGGCCUGAUGUCACUGCAAGGGACCUUUACAUCUGAGAAUGUUAAGUGUGUGCAGACAAUUUGUGCAUAGCAGAGAAGUGAAAUGUGAACCUGCAAUCCCAAGACUUCAAAACCAGGCUGAGAUACAGCUACUGUAUUUGAUGAUUAUCAGAUUAAUAUUUCUUGGAGCAUGAAAGUUUUGCACAUUUUGAGGAAGAAAAAGGUAACUAAAGGGUCCAAGACUAAUUACAAACAAGCACUUGAGUGAGGAGAACUUACUUUCCUGAUUCUCUUCAGCCAGGCCUCAUCACAGAGUUGCAUAAAGUCCAUUAAAUGAAGUUCCUUGGGAAAAAUGAAGAUAUGGAGGAAGACAAGUACUUAGUAAGGGGAGGUAAGAGUUAAGGCCUGGGACCACAGAACAGCUGGAAUAUGUUAGUUUUACAGGAAGGCAGCCUGGA
Molecule: long non-coding RNA, 655 nt
Organism: Pipra filicauda (Wire-tailed manakin)
Lineage: Eukaryota; Metazoa; Chordata; Aves; Passeriformes; Pipridae
Exons: 4
Source: RefSeq, a predicted model, not a curated record